This is a long non-coding RNA of Acanthopagrus latus (yellowfin seabream), 432 nucleotides long. RefSeq lists it as uncharacterized. The record is from RefSeq and is a predicted model, not a curated record. The transcript has 3 exons. NCBI's taxonomy places the organism in Eukaryota, Metazoa, Chordata, Actinopteri, Spariformes, Sparidae.
UCACCCGUGCCUCUCUGCCUCAUAGUCUACUCAGUAUCACUGCAUCUGAGUGUUUCUGCAUCUUCAUGUCCAGCAAUAAAAGCUGAGCAAAUGAAACUUAAUACAACAGUUUUUUUUAUGCAGCAGGCAUGAAUUCCCAGAGAUGCUCCUGCUGCAGGCCACACACAAGCCUCAACCAGAUCUGGUUGUGUGUGUGCCACUGAACUCCCUGCAGGGGAAUACUGUGGAAGACAUCUGCCGCUAUGAAAUUGAUCAGAGUCGGCUAUGUGUAAACAUACAAGGAAUUUGACCUCUUCUACUCAGGAGUGCACAUGUGGCCACGAACGAGGACGACGAAAGCUGAACUAAUAAAGUUAAAGAACUUUCAUGCACACAGAGAUUAGAAAGAGAAGAGAAGAGAAGAGAAGAGAAGAGAAGAGAAGAGAAGAGAGG